UAUUAAAAAAACCAUCUCUUUGUACUGUUAAAAAACGGGUGCAGCUAACAUAAUAACCAAACAGUGACACUUGGCAUACCACGUGUAUUGUAUGUUGACAUAUAGGGAUCAAUUUUUUACAGUAGAAGUGGAUGAAAUUUUUAACA
Non-coding RNA from Gossypium raimondii (Peruvian cotton), 146 nucleotides. The record is from Rfam. NCBI's taxonomy places the organism in Eukaryota, Viridiplantae, Streptophyta, Magnoliopsida, Malvales, Malvaceae.